This 326-nucleotide ribosomal RNA is filed under the name uncultured Streptococcus sp. RNAcentral describes it as "bacterial SSU rRNA". It matches the Rfam family "Bacterial small subunit ribosomal RNA", at positions 1055 to 1382 of the family's 1533-position model. Lineage: Bacteria; Bacillati; Bacillota; Bacilli; Lactobacillales; Streptococcaceae. The record is from RNAcentral.
UCAGCUCGUGUCGUGAGAUGUUGGGUUAAGUCCCGCAACGAGCGCAACCCCUAUUGUUAGUUGCCAUCAUUCAGUUGGGCACUCUAGCGAGACUGCCGGUAAUAAACCGGAGGAAGGUGGGGAUGACGUCAAAUCAUCAUGCCCUUAUGACCUGGGCUACACACGUGCUACAAUGGUUGGUACAACGAGUUGCGAGUCGGUGACGGCGAGCUAAUCUCUUAAAGCCAAUCUCAGUUCGGAUUGUAGGCUGCAACUCGCCUACAUGAAGUCGGAAUCGCUAGUAAUCGCAGAUCAGCAGGCUGCGGUGAACUACGCUCCCGGGCCUU